This 207-nucleotide unclassified non-coding RNA is filed under the name Hevea brasiliensis (rubber tree). The record is from RNAcentral. Lineage: Eukaryota; Viridiplantae; Streptophyta; Magnoliopsida; Malpighiales; Euphorbiaceae.
AUCAAGCCAACCUCUUUAAUCCACAACUAUAAUGGAAAUAAUUUCUUUUUUUACAUAUCCUGUCACUUAACUUCUCGAUAUGAGAAAUUUCUACAUACAUCUGAAUGUAAAAAUAGCCACUUGAAAGGAAAUUUCUUGCACUAACUAAUUGUAAAAAGAAUAUAAAAUACAAUUAUUUAAACCGUUAAAUUAGAAAAAAAAAAAAAA